GUGAGGAAUAUUGCGCAAUGGAGGCAACUCUGACGCAGCCAUGCCGCGUGCAGGAAGAAGGCGCUACGCGUUGUAAACUGCUUUUAACCGGGAAGAAACCCCAGGACGUGUCCUGGGUUGACGGUACCGGAGGAAUAAGCACCGGUUAACUUCGUGCCAGCAGCCGCGGUAAUACGAAGGGUGCAAGCGUUAUCCGGAUUCAUUGGGUUUAAAGGGUGCGUAGGUGGAGCGUUAAGUCAGUGGUGAAAUCCUGCAGCUUAACUGUAGACUUGCCAUUGAUACUGGCGCUCUUGAGUGCGCUUGAAGUGGGCGGAAUGUGCCGUGUAGCGGUGAAAUGCUUAGAUAUGGCACAGAACACCAAUUGCGAAGGCAGCUCACUAAGGCGAUACUGACGCUGAGGCACGAAAGCGUGGGGAUCGAACAGGAUUAGAAACCCGGGUAGUCC
RNAcentral lists this ribosomal RNA (445 nucleotides) under uncultured bacterium. RNAcentral describes it as "bacterial SSU rRNA". It matches the Rfam family "Bacterial small subunit ribosomal RNA", at positions 354 to 796 of the family's 1533-position model. The record is from RNAcentral.